This 490-nucleotide ribosomal RNA is filed under the name uncultured bacterium. Its description in RNAcentral is "partial 16S ribosomal RNA". It matches the Rfam family "Bacterial small subunit ribosomal RNA", at positions 29 to 507 of the family's 1533-position model. The record is from RNAcentral.
AGUGAACGCUGGCGGCAGGCCUAAUACAUGCCAGUCGAACGGCAGCACAGUGGCGCUUGCUCCAUGGGUGGCGAGUGGCGGACGGGUGAGGAAUACAUGGGAAUCUGCCCAGUCGUGGGGGAUAACGUAGGGAAACUUACGCUAAUACCGCAUGCGCCCUUCGGGGGAAAGCCGGGGACCUUCGGGCCUGGCGCGAUUGGAUGAGCCCAUGUUCGAUUAGCUAGUUGGCGGGGUAAAGGCCCACCAAGGCGACGAUCGAUAGCUGGUCUGAGAGGAUGAUCAGCCACACUGGGAGUGAGACACGGCCCAGACUCCUACGGGAGGCAGCAGUAGGGAAUAUUGGACAAUGGGCGCAAGCCUGAUCCAGCCAUGCCGCGUGAGUGAAGAAGGACCUCGGGUUGUAAAGCUCUUUUGUCCGGGAAGAAAAGCAUCGGGCUAAUACCUCGGUGUUCUGACGGUACCGGAAGAAUAAGCACCGGCUAACUUCGUG